This 1282-nucleotide ribosomal RNA is filed under the name metagenome. RNAcentral describes it as "bacterial LSU rRNA". It matches the Rfam family "Bacterial large subunit ribosomal RNA", at positions 1644 to 2910 of the family's 2925-position model. The record is from RNAcentral.
GUACCCCAAACCGACUCAGGUGGUUAGGUAGAGAAUACCAAGGCGAUCGAGUGAAUCGUGGUUAAGGAAUUCGGCAAAAUACCCCCGUAACUUCGGGAGAAGGGGGGCCCAGAGGGUGACGGGACUUGCUCCCCGAGCCUGAACGGCCGCAGAGACCAGGGAGAAGCGACUGUUUACUAAAAACACAGGUCCGUGCCAAGUCGCAAGACGAUGUAUACGGACUGACGCCUGCCCGGUGCUGGAACGUUAAGGGGACCGGUUAGCCUCACGGCGAAGCUGAGAACUUAAGCGCCAGUAAACGGCGGUGGUAACUAUAACCAUCCUAAGGUAGCGAAAUUCCUUGUCGGGUAAGUUCCGACCUGCACACUGUCGUAACGACUUCUCCACUGUCUCAACCACGAACUCGGCGAAAUUGCACUACGAGUAAAGAUGCUCGUUACGCGCAGAAGGGCGGAAAGACCCCGGGACCUUUACUACAGCUUGGUAUUGGUGUUCGGUACGGCUUGUGUAGGAUAGGUGGGAGACUGUGAAGCUGACACGCCAGUGUCGGUGGAGUCAACGUUGAAAUACCACUCUGGUCGUUCUGGAUAUCUAACCUAGGUCCGUAAUCCGGAUCAGGGACAGUGCCUGGUGGGUAGUUUAACUGGGGCGGUUGCCUCCUAAAAGGUAACGGAGGCGCCCAAAGGUUCCCUCAGCCUGGUUGGCAAUCAGGUUUCGAGUGUAAGUGCACAAGGGAGCUUGACUGUGAGACUGACAAGUCGAACAGGGACGAAAGUCGGGACUAGUGAUCCGGCGGUGGCUUGUGGAAGCGCCGUCGCUCAACGGAUAAAAGGUACCCCGGGGAUAACAGGCUGAUCUUGCCCAAGAGUCCAUAUCGACGGCAUGGUUUGGCACCUCGAUGUCGGCUCGUCGCAUCCUGGGGCUGGAGCAGGUCCCAAGGGUUGGGCUGUUCGCCCAUUAAAGCGGUACGCGAGCUGGGUUUAGAACGUCGUGAGACAGUUCGGUCCCUAUCCUCUGCGCGCGCAGGAAACUUGAGAAGGGCUGUCCCUAGUACGAGAGGACCGGGAUGGACGAACCUCUGGUGUGUCAGUUGUUCUGCCAAGAGCACCACUGAUUAGCUACGUUCGGGAGUGAUAACCGCUGAAAGCAUCUAAGCGGGAAGCAUGCUUCAAGAUGAGGUUUCCAUGGGGUUUACCCCGAGAGGCUCCCAGCUAGACUACUGGGUUGAUAGGCCGGAUGUGGAAGUGCGGUAACGCAUGGAGCUGACCGGUACUAAUAAGCC